UUGGGAACAAUCAAGUCAUACGAGAAUAAUCAUCCACGAAAGUGACAAAAUAUUGAACUUUAUUAGAAGAAAUAUUGAUUGGUCCCCAUACAUCAGAAUGAACUAAAUCAAAUAAACCAAAAGCACGACUACUAGUUCGUAACGGAAAAGACACACGAUGAUGUUUGCUAAGCUGGCACGCAUCACAUUCAAGGGAGGACACAUUGCGAAGACUCACAACUUGACGUUUUAAAGUAGAUAGAGAAGCGUGACCAAGACGGCAAUGCCACUGCAUGGGUGAAACAGAAGACUGAAGAGCUCGAGGAGGAGAGACCGGUAAAAUAUCCAGGUAGUACAAGCUACCAACUUCAUGCCCCAUACCAAUCAUCCUCUUCGUCUUGAGAUCCUGAAAAACACACAAGGAGGGAUAAAAUGUUACAGAGCACUGAAGAGAUUUGGUAAUUUUACUAAUAGACAAUAAACUAGAGGGAAAUCCAGGAACGUGAAGGACAGUUGACAGAUUAAUGUUAGGACUGGGACAAGUAUUGCUUGAGCCUGCAACACUAGUUUGGGAAUCGUUAGCCAGGGUGACACAUGUGGAAUGAGUAAUAGGAUGAUAAUCAAGGAGAGAAGUAGACGAACCAGUCAUGUGUUCUGUUGCAACAGAAUCGAUAAUCCACGGAUUGUGAGAGGAUGACAAUAGACAGUGAGAAGAUGCAGUACCUGACUGAGCGAGUGUGGCUAUAGAAGUGGAAGUAGCCUGUUUAUGAGCUAAAAAUUCAGCAUACUCAUCCCGUGGUACAGUUAAGAGAUCAGAUCCUUGUGUUGAGCUACAAUUAGUUACCGAUCUAGAUAUUGGGUGAUGGUCCUCAUUAGAUGAGACCUGAUUGGCAGAAUCAGAUGGUUUGCCAUGUAUGUUCCAACAAUAAUCAACGAAGUGACCUGUACAACCACAGUGAGUACAUUUUCGAGGUUUACAAUUUCCCAAACGGCUACUGCUUCUAAUAUCUCGUCCACCUCUAGAACUAACACCACGUCCACUUCGACUGCUGCGUCCACCCCUAAAUGAGCCACCCCUGGCAACAAAGGCAGAAUGAUCUCCACUAGGUGUAUUAUCGGAGAGAGUAGAGCGUUGAAUACGAGAGAAUGUCUCUGGGAGACUCGGAAGUUCUUUUCCACCCAAUAUCUGUGCCCUGACAGCUUCAAACUCCGAUGGAAGACCAAGAAGGA
This 1209-nucleotide long non-coding RNA is filed under the name Olea europaea (common olive). Its description in RNAcentral is "long non-coding RNA (OEUR_LNC014429)". Lineage: Eukaryota; Viridiplantae; Streptophyta; Magnoliopsida; Lamiales; Oleaceae. The record is from RNAcentral.